CAGUCGCCGCGGUAAUACAGAGGGUGCGAGCGUUAAUCGGAUUUACUGGGCGUAAAGCGUGCGUAGGCGGCUUCUUAAGUCGGAUGUGAAAUCCCUGAGCUUAACUUAGGAAUUGCAUUCGAUACUGGGAAGCUAGAGUAUGGGAGAGGAUGGUAGAAUUCCAGGUGUAGCGGUGAAAUGCGUAGAGAUCUGGAGGAAUACCGAUGGCGAAGGCAGCCAUCUGGCCUAAUACUGACGCUGAGGUACGAAAGCAUGGGGAGCAAACAGGAUUAGAGACCCCGGUAGUCCCUGUCUCUUAUAC
This 301-nucleotide ribosomal RNA is filed under the name uncultured bacterium. Its description in RNAcentral is "partial 16S ribosomal RNA". It matches the Rfam family "Bacterial small subunit ribosomal RNA", at positions 509 to 807 of the family's 1533-position model. The record is from RNAcentral.